RNAcentral lists this ribosomal RNA (253 nucleotides) under uncultured bacterium. RNAcentral describes it as "partial 16S ribosomal RNA". It matches the Rfam family "Bacterial small subunit ribosomal RNA", at positions 524 to 776 of the family's 1533-position model. The record is from RNAcentral.
UACGAAGGGAGCUAGCGUUGUUCGGAAUUACUGGGCGUAAAGGGCGCGUAGGCGGUUUGACAAGUUGGAUGUGAAAGCCCAGGGCUCAACCCUGGAAUUGCAUUCAAGACUGUUUUACUUGAAUUCGGUAGAGGUUGGUGGAAUUCCCAGUGUAGAGGUGAAAUUCGUAGAGAUUGGGAAGAACACCCGUGGCGAAGGCGGCCAACUGGACCGACAUUGACGCUGAGGCGCGAAAGCGUGGGGAUCAAACAGG